RNAcentral lists this ribosomal RNA (496 nucleotides) under uncultured bacterium. RNAcentral describes it as "partial 16S ribosomal RNA". It matches the Rfam family "Bacterial small subunit ribosomal RNA", at positions 28 to 506 of the family's 1533-position model. The record is from RNAcentral.
GAUGAACGCUGGCGGCGUGCCUAAUACAUGCAAGUCGAGCGAACAGACGAGGAGCUUGCUCCUCUGACGUUAGCGGCGGACGGGUGAGUAACACGUGGAUAACCUACCUAUAAGACUGGGAUAACUUCGGGAAACCGGAGCUAAUACCGGAUAAUAUAUUGAACCGCAUGGUUCAAUAGUGAAAGACGGUUUUGCUGUCACUUAUAGAUGAAUCCGCGCCGCAUUAGCUAGUUGGUAAGGUAACGGCUUACCAAGGCAACGAUGCGUAGCCGACCUGAGAGGGUGAUCGGCCACACUGGAACUGAGACACGGUCCAGACUCCUACGGGAGGCAGCAGUAGGGAAUCUUCCGCAAUGGGCGAAAGCUUGACGGAGCAACGCCGCGUGAGUGAUGAAGGUCUUCGGAUCGUAAAACUCUGUUAUUAGGGAAGAACAAAUGUGUAAGUAACUAUGCACGUCUUGACGGUACCUAAGCAGAAAGCCACGGCUAACUACGU